Molecule: unclassified non-coding RNA, 325 nt
Organism: Mesocricetus auratus (golden hamster)
Lineage: Eukaryota; Metazoa; Chordata; Mammalia; Rodentia; Cricetidae
Gene: 7SK
Rfam family: 7SK RNA
About the family: 7SK was discovered as an abundant small nuclear RNA in the mid-70s but a possible function has only recently been suggested.
Source: Ensembl
GGAUUUAUCUGGCUGUGACAUCUGUCACCCCAUUGACCAUGAAAGUCUAUUUAUGAAGAUUUAUCUAGCAAGGUGAGUGUCCCUUUCCUCACUUACAUCUCCAUGUACAUUCCUUCUGAUGCCAUUUGAUAAGUCAAAGAGAAGAACCUUCCUGGUAAAGGAGGGGUGGUCUUCCAUUAAGGGUGUUUGAGUACAUGUGAUCCCUGAAGGGACCUCCAAACCGACUCUCAAGGUACAUUUGCAAUAAAAUGCAGGUUAAUUAAGCUUUCAUGACUGUAGACAUAGCCAUCUGUGUGGUGAUGCAUGUGGCAGUUUGCCUUUCUGG